Molecule: ribosomal RNA, 1113 nt
Filed under: uncultured organism
Description: bacterial SSU rRNA
Rfam family: Bacterial small subunit ribosomal RNA
Source: RNAcentral
AUGCUGACGACCGGCGCACGGGUGAGUAACGCGUAUGCAACCUUCCUGUAUCUGGAGGAUAGGCCUUGGAAACGAGGAUUAAUACUGCGUAACAUUAUAUUAUCGCAUGGUAAAAUAAUCAAAUCUACGGAGGAUACAGAUGGGCAUGCGUGCCAUUAGCUAGAUGGUAAGGUAAGGGCUUACCAUGGCGACGAUGGCUAGGGGUUCUGCAAGGAAGAUCCCCCACACUGGUACUGAGACACGGACCAGACUCCUACGGGAGGCAGCAGUGAGGAAUAUUGGUCAAUGGAGGCAACUCUGAACCAGCCAAGCCGCGUGAAGGAAGACUGUUCUAUGAAUUGUAAACUUCUUUUGUGACAGAGUAAAGAUAGCUACGCGUAGUUAUUUGCAAGUAUGUCAUGAAUAAGCAUCGGCUAACUCCGUGCCAGCAGCCGCGGUAAUACGGAGGAUGCAGGCGUUAUCCGGAUUUAUUAGGUUUAAAGGGUGUUCAGGCUGUCUGGUAAGUCAGAGGUGAAAGUCGGUUGCUUAACGAUCGAAUUGCCUUUGAAACUGUCAGACUUGAGUAUGGAUGCGGUAGGCGGAAUGUGUAGUGUAGCGGUGAAAUGCAUAGAUAUUACACAGAACACCGAUUGCGAAAGCAGCUUACCAAACCAGCACUGACGCUGAAGCACGAAAGCGUGGGUAGCGAACAGGAUUAGAUACCCUGGUAGUCCACGCAGUAAACGAUGCUCACUCGCUGUUGGCAAUAGAUCGUCAGCGGCUAAGGGAAACCGAUAAGUGAGCCACCUGGGGAGUACGAUCGCAAGAUUGAAACUCAAAGGAAUUGACGGGGGCCCGCACAAGCGGUGGAACAUGUGGUUUAAUUCGAUGAUACGCGAGGAACCUUACCUGGGCUUAAAUGUACGAUGCAUAAGUGUGAAAGCACUUUUUCCUUCGGGACUUUGUACAAGGUGCUGCAUGGUUGUCGUCAGCUCGUGCCGUGAGGUGUCGGGUUAAGUCCCAUAACGAGCGCAACCCCUAUUGUUAGUUACCAGCGCGUAAAGGCGGGGGACUCUAGCGAAACUGCCGGUGUAAACCGCGAGGAAGGUGGGGAUGACGUCAAAUCAGCACGGC